GGGCCGGUCGUCUAGACUGGUAGGAUGCGCCCUUGGCAUGGGUGAGAUCGUGGGUUCAAAUCCCAUCCGGUCCA
Molecule: transfer RNA, 74 nt
Filed under: Nitrosopumilales archaeon
Lineage: Archaea; Thermoproteati; Nitrososphaerota; Nitrososphaeria; Nitrosopumilales
Also listed under: 1 other name
Description: tRNA-Ala
Rfam family: tRNA
About the family: Transfer RNA (tRNA) molecules are approximately 80 nucleotides in length. Their secondary structure includes four short double-helical elements and three loops (D, anti-codon, and T loops).
Source: RNAcentral